GUAAGGAAUAUUGGUCAAUGGAGGGAACUCUGAACCAGCCAUGCCGCGUGCAGGAAGACAGCCCUCUGGGUCGUAAACUGCUUUUAUUCGGGAAUAAACCUAUUUACGUGUAGAUAGCUGAAUGUACCGAAGGAAUAAGGAUCGGCUAACUCCGUGCCAGCAGCCGCGGUAAUACGGAGGAUCCAAGCGUUAUCCGGAUUUAUUGGGUUUAAAGGGUGCGUAGGCGGCUUAUUAAGUCAGGGGUGAAAGACGGUGGCUCAACCAUCGCAGUGCCCUUGAUACUGAUGAGCUUGAAUACACUAGAGGUAGGCGGAAUGUGACAAGUAGCGGUGAAAUGCAUAGAUAUGUCACAGAACACCGAUUGCGAAGGCAGCUUACUAUGGUGUGAUUGACGCUGAGGCACGAAAGCGUGGGGAUCAAACAGGAUUAGAUACCCGAGUAGUCC
This 445-nucleotide ribosomal RNA is filed under the name uncultured bacterium. RNAcentral describes it as "bacterial SSU rRNA". It matches the Rfam family "Bacterial small subunit ribosomal RNA", at positions 354 to 796 of the family's 1533-position model. The record is from RNAcentral.